This 500-nucleotide ribosomal RNA is filed under the name Salmonella enterica subsp. enterica serovar Thompson. RNAcentral describes it as "bacterial SSU rRNA". It matches the Rfam family "Bacterial small subunit ribosomal RNA", at positions 1 to 490 of the family's 1533-position model. Lineage: Bacteria; Pseudomonadati; Pseudomonadota; Gammaproteobacteria; Enterobacterales; Enterobacteriaceae. RNAcentral also lists the same sequence under 1 other name. The record is from RNAcentral.
AAAUUGAAGAGUUUGAUCAUGGCUCAGAUUGAACGCUGGCGGCAGGCCUAACACAUGCAAGUCGAACGGUAACAGGAAGCAGCUUGCUGCUUUGCUGACGAGUGGCGGACGGGUGAGUAAUGUCUGGGAAACUGCCUGAUGGAGGGGGAUAACUACUGGAAACGGUGGCUAAUACCGCAUAACGUCGCAAGACCAAAGAGGGGGACCUUCGGGCCUCUUGCCAUCAGAUGUGCCCAGAUGGGAUUAGCUAGUUGGUGAGGUAACGGCUCACCAAGGCGACGAUCCCUAGCUGGUCUGAGAGGAUGACCAGCCACACUGGAACUGAGACACGGUCCAGACUCCUACGGGAGGCAGCAGUGGGGAAUAUUGCACAAUGGGCGCAAGCCUGAUGCAGCCAUGCCGCGUGUAUGAAGAAGGCCUUAGGGUUGUAAAGUACUUUCAGCGGGGAGGAAGGUGUUGCGGUUAAUAACCGCAGCAAUUGACGUUACCCGCAGAAGAAG